AAGUCUGGUGCCAGCAGCCGCGGUAAUUCCAGCUCCAAUAGCGUAUAUUAAAAUUGUUGCGUCUAAAAAGCUCGUAGUUUGAAAACUUGCCUUGGCUUGCAAAAGGUCCUUCCAUAGGGCCGCCGUUUGUUGAGAGCAAAUAUCGAUGACUGUUUUUGCCGACUUCAUUGUUUGGCUUAUAGGAGUUAUCAAAUAUCACUUUGAUUAAAUUAGAGUGCUUAAAGCAAGUGUGUUACUUGAAUAUAAAUGCAUGGAAUGAUGGAAUAUGUUGUUGUUCUAUUUGUUGGUUUUUGAACGAUGAAAUGAUUGAAAGGAACUGUUGGGGGCAUUCGUAUUGUUGUGAGAGAGGUGAAAUUCUUAGACCACAGCAAGACGAACUACUGCGAAAGCAUUUGCCAAGAAUGUUUUCAUUGAUCAAGAACGAAAGUUAGAGGUUCGAAGGCGAUCAGAUACCGCCCUAGUUCUAACCAUAA
RNAcentral lists this ribosomal RNA (473 nucleotides) under Proctolaelaps bickleyi. Its description in RNAcentral is "bacterial SSU rRNA". It matches the Rfam family "Eukaryotic small subunit ribosomal RNA", at positions 557 to 1035 of the family's 1831-position model. The record is from RNAcentral. Lineage: Eukaryota; Metazoa; Arthropoda; Arachnida; Mesostigmata; Ascidae.